UCUCUGGUGGCUCAGGGGUAAAGAAUCUGCCUGCAAUGCAGGAGAUCCGGGUUCAAUCCCUGGGUUGGGAA
Molecule: transfer RNA, 71 nt
Filed under: Ovis aries (sheep)
Lineage: Eukaryota; Metazoa; Chordata; Mammalia; Artiodactyla; Bovidae
Rfam family: tRNA
About the family: Transfer RNA (tRNA) molecules are approximately 80 nucleotides in length.
Source: Rfam by way of RNAcentral